This 512-nucleotide unclassified non-coding RNA is filed under the name uncultured Glomus. Its description in RNAcentral is "SSU rRNA". It matches the Rfam family "Eukaryotic small subunit ribosomal RNA", at positions 569 to 1081 of the family's 1831-position model. The record is from RNAcentral. Lineage: Eukaryota; Fungi; Glomeromycota; Glomeromycetes; Glomerales; Glomeraceae.
AGCAGCCGCGGUAAUUCCAGCUCCAAUAGCGUAUAUUAAAGUUGUUGCAGUUAAAAAGCUCGUAGUUGAAUUUCGGGAUCAAUAUGUUGGUCGUGCCUCGGUACGUACUAGCAUAUUGGUUUCUCCUUUCUGAAGAACCAUGAUGUCAUUUAUUUGGUGUCGUGGGGAAUCAGGACUGUUACUUUGAAAAAAUUAGAGUGUUUAAAGCAGGCUCACGCUUGAAUACAUUAGCAUGGAAUAAUGAAAUAGGACGUUUGAUUCUAUUUUGUUGGUUUCUAGGAUCGACGUAAUGAUUAAUAGGGAUAGUUGGGGGCGAUUAGUAUUCAAUUGUCAGAGGUGAAAUUCUUGGAUUUAUUGAAGACUAACUACUGCGAAAGCAAUUUGCCAAGGAUGUUUUCAUUAAUCAAGAACGAAAGUUAGGGGAUCGAAGACGAUCAGAUACCGUCGUAGUCUUAACCAUAAACUAUGCCGACUAGGGAUCGGAUGAUGUUAAUUUUUUCAAUGACUCAUUC